Molecule: long non-coding RNA, 686 nt
Organism: Sardina pilchardus (European sardine)
Lineage: Eukaryota; Metazoa; Chordata; Actinopteri; Clupeiformes; Clupeidae
Exons: 3
Source: RefSeq, a predicted model, not a curated record
CGUAGACUAAUUAAUUAAAUUUCGGUUUGAUAGCAGUACUUUAAACGUGAUAAUUGGCUAACCUGUCGGUGAUGAUGCCAAAGGUUUACGUUUGUAAUACAUUUUUAAAAAUCUGUGCUUUUUAAAGUUUUGACCCACGUUUUAGUUUCCUUUUUAAAUUGCCACUAAUAAAGCCAGCAUUUGUGUAUUUGGAGGGCGAUCAAGAUAACGAUUUUAAAUAGCCUUAUUAUAUCAUAAUUAUUAAAUAUCCCCUCGUGGCGAAUGUCUAGUCAAUUAAACUUUGACAUUUUGACAUUUUGACACUUUGACGUUUCCUGAUGUCAUUACUUUGCGACACCGUCAGCUUGCUGCUCUUGCCCAUGUGGACCAGAUGUGGACGCCUCUCCCUAUCCUGUGGUCAUACAAAGCAUCUGAGAUUUUCCUCGUGUCUAUCUUUUCACCAGUAUGACUCUGCAUUAGCUAUUUGUCCAGAGAGAAAGUAGGUGAAUGUUGAUUAUUUGUUUGGUACCUAUUCCCCCAAGAGGGGUGCCAGUGUCCUGAUGCUGACCAGUAGCACCGGUUCCGCCACUUGCUUCCCGCUGGAGUCUUAGCACCAACUGGAUGAGGGGACUCCUCUCCGUUUUGAAUUCCUGGCUCUCCAUGGCUUUGAAUUAAUAUGAUGUGGGGUCCUCAAAUGCUGCCAGAAC